CUUGACCUCCAUGUUGUGAGUUCAAGCCCCAUGUUGGGUGUGUAGCCUACAGAAAAAAAAAAAAAAAGGGAGGUUCUAUUCUUUUCUGCCUCCUGCUGGUUGUAAGUAGAAAGGAAGUUUGGGUUAUGGUUAUGUGAAAAAAGUCAUAGAUUUGUUACAUUUAUUGAUUUCUGAUGAUUAUAGGAUCAUUUUUCAUUUUCCCAAUAACGUGUACAGUGAAGGAUCUUCAACUGUGACCCAUGCAUGAUGGGGAGGGCUGGGGAAGGCCACAUAUUCCUUGAAAUUAUAAAUUAUAGAAUUUUGGUAUGUGUGCCUUUUGCAUUGUUGGGUGUUAGGAGAGUCCAUAAUUUUUGUUAGCUUCUCCAGGAGACCCACAAUCUACAAAAAAGUUAAAAGAGCCUAACUGGAAUGUUCUACAUAAUUACUUUCUCGUUGUGAAAUUUCAGUUCAUUCAUAUUAAUUGUCGCGAGUACUACUACCUUCUUUCCGCUAGGUGGUGCUGCUACAUGCAUUUUCAAACACCAAUCACAAGGUUCAUUGAUUUAUGGAGUGAAAAAGCGCCCAGGUUUAAAUGGCAAGUCCUCAAGUUCAUUUUAGGUUGGAAGGAAUUUUUGAAAUCAAGUAGUACAGUCGCAUUGUUUUACAGAUAGACCGCCAGAUGCCCAAAAGGUGAAGGAAGAGCUCUGACGGAGACCAGACCUUUUGAAAAGUCGAAAGGAUGCGCUGAGUGGAAGAACCCACAGAGCUGGAGCUCUCCUCCUACCAAACUACUUUGAAGGCUGCGCCUUUGGCCGCCCAAGGACUGGGGGUGGUACUGGUUGUGGACUUUAGAUUUUUUUGGUUCUGAGGCAUUUGUAUUUUUCAGUCACAGUCAUGACGGAAUUUGGUGCUUCUACCCUGCCGGAUGGUGGUAUUGCUGAGAAGGGAUUUUAUUCAGUUAAGGAGGGAAGUUGCACAGUCUUCCUCUACCCCAUUCCCUGGUUGGCUUUAGACAUCUUAUAAUUACGUGCAUUGCAUUCUUUCCAGAGCCAACGGUGACCCUAUAAAUGUAUGUAUAAGCAGUAUUGGUGACACAUGAGGGACAUGCUAGGUUGAAUUGAGGGUUUUAUAGUUGAUGGUUUUUAGGCAUUUACAUAGUAAUUGAACACUGACAUUUUUAUUGUGUAUGUACAUGUGUUUUAAAACACUCUCUUAAGAAUCCAUUAUUUACUGCUAGUCAUAGCUUCUGUGAUAAACACCACGGUCAGUUACUCAGGCAUCCCAUUGGGAAGGAAGGACUUACUCCUCCAGUACUGGGUGGGCUGCCAACAGAAGUCCUCAGAUGUCAGACCCUCACAGAGGUUGCUCCACUUGAAGAGAACUGCCUUGCCCGAGUUGUGUCCCCUUCCCUAGAGUGGCCCAUCUCCAGGGACUGAUUGGCCUUUGGGGUGUUAAGACUCAACUCUGAAGAGUCAUCCCAGCCUCAAGACUUCCUCUGGGAAGGUCAGAGACCACCAGUGAGACUGUAUGGAGGCUUAUCUUCUCCUUGGGGCCAACUCUGAUCCUUGCUUCCCCCUUUCAGGUGUCUCUCACUAGAACACUCCUGCGUGUCAUUCUCCUCAGGGUCGGCCCCAACCUGUGACAUUUGGUUUCAGAAGUAACCCCAAAAUGCAGAUGCUGGGAUUAGAAUUUGGAUCUGGAUUAUGCACGAACUGCUUGACAGGAUUCCUAUCGGCAGUGGAUCCUAGCAAGAUACAGAGACCAGUACUCCCGGCAAGCCGGUGGUUAAGAGGGAGUGAGUGACAUGAUUUCUCAAGCUUGUGUCAGAGGUUCACACUUGAACAAAGCUUAGGGAUUUGAAUGCAGAGGUAAUAUGGUGCUACCAAGCAGGGCAGGGUCCAAGCCAGAGUACAUUCACGUGGUCUUGGGCAAGGUCCAGAGGAAGAGGAACUAGAAGAUUCCCUGACUUCCCCAUCAGGACCCUUUACCUCCCUACGCUUCUGGCAACCUCAGUUCCUUGUUUCUGUGAAUUUGAAUAUUUAGGUACCUCAGCUCCUGUCUAAGUAACUGCCGACUGUCUCACUCUGCCGGAAUCCUCAAUGGUAGCCACUGAGUGGAUCCUCCAAGGUUACCAGAAAAGGAAGUUGUGCAUGUGGGGCAAGCAGUGACCAGACGUCUGCUCCUACGAUGUACAGUAGUUCCAGAUCUGUGGCCCUUCCCUCCUCCUGAUUUUCUUGCUUAGCUGCACUUCUUAUCCGAAUCCUAGUUAUCCCUCAUGGCUGGGCAGAUCUUUCCCACCCAGCUGUGGCAUUGGACCUCUUAGUAGCUCACUCCUGGAAACAUGCAUUGUAUAAGGUCCCAACACCUGACAGAUAACAAAGAUCAAAUCAAAUCGGAUCAGAUCAAAUGGAAUCCAGUGGUGUUUGUCGAGCUCUUUGAAUGGAGUGGUAUGCAGCAGCGCCUCCCAAAUGGUGCCCAGGGGAAAUCAGCAAGGAAGAGAUGAACAUCCAGAAUGACUCCCAUAAACAGGAGAGAAUGCCAGGCUGCUGCCUGCCCUGUUUCAAUGUGUGGCGUUUGGCAAUGGACUAUGACAGCUUCCCUCUUGCCGCUAACUCGGUGUCACAUGAGCACGCCGAAGGUGACUUGAGAUUUGGAGAAUUGAGGGGAAGGCCAUGAGAAUCUCAAAGCUGUGUCCUUUAGUCUCCUCGUCCUGGAAGAAGCUAUGAUGUCACGUUGAUCAGUUUGCGGUGAAUCCCUUCUAUUUGCCCUCAGUAAUCAUUUAUGCUGACCCUCCCUCCUGGUUGAUUCUCCAGAGAAGCAGACCCAACUCCCUAACAACUUGGCCUCAUUUUAAAUUCUGCUCUAGUCUUUCAGAUGACCUCUAAAAAUCCUAGAAAAUGCUGGGGGGAAAAGAGGUCAAGGACAUUGGGCUAGAGAUUUAUGUUUACAACAAGUUAAAAGAAACAAAAGCAUUACAUUUUAUCAUACACCCCUUGGCGUGCAUCUAUCUUUUGGAUGUGACAUGAGAUAAUUAAUGUGUAAAUGCCAAUUAGAGUGCUUGGCACAGAGCAACCAGUUAAUAGCUGUUGGUUUUUAUCUGUCUGUCUUUAAUUAAUAACCUAGACCAGCAAAGAUGGUUUAGAAAAAUAUUAGGUAACUCAGUUUCAGCAAUUAUGAUGAUAUAAUGAGUUAUGCUGACCUAAUGUCCUUGUUCAUUUGGUGGUUCAGCUAGUAUAGCCAAAAUAUGCUUGUGAGAUGACUCUAAACCAAUGAUAAUGCCUCAAAUGACUCCCGUGGUCAAGCCGCAUGGAUGGAAGCAUCGUUUAUAGUUAUUACCCUACCUUGGAUUCAGUUGUCCUACAAGAGGUCACAUGAUCUUAAUGUUACUGCCAGGAUACAUCUCCAUGAACUACAGAGCAAUUAGCAAAUUUGCAGCUUCUCAAAGAUAUCUGCUCAGUUUCAUUGCUAGUGUGAUUGCUACUGCUUCCCUGGACUGAUUGGUGACCAGUGCAGCCUCUCACCCCCUUCUGAAAUCCAAGAAAUAGCUUAUGAUAGCCUUCCAACUUGUCAUAAUACAAUGUGUGCCCUAUAGUGCAUUCUGGGGGUAUCUUCAGGGAGAGGGCUGUAGAGGCAUUGACCCAGUUAAUACUUGUUUAGUGCUUGGGGGUUACAGGUUACUUCUCAUAUUCUGCCUCAUUUUAUUUUAUUUUAUUUUUUAAAAAAGAUUUUAGUUAUUUAUUCACAAGAGACACAGAGAGAGGCAGAGACAUAGGCAGAGGGAGGAGAAGCAGGCUCCCCGUGGGGAGCCCGAUGUGGGACUUGAUUCUGGGACUCCAGGAUCGUGCCCUGAGCUGAAGGCAGACACUUAACCACUGAGCAACCCAGGCAUCCCAGCUGCCUCAUUUUUAUCCUUACAUUAAAUCUAUGAGGUAGACCUAGCAAGCGUGUUUAUUUCUCUUUUGUCCAUCAAGUUGGACAAUAUUGUUUGAGGAUGUUUUUUUCCUUUCAAAUGAAAGGUAUAUGACCAGCUCUUAAGUGAAUUGAUUGAGUGGCUAGUUCUAAGAGAAAUGGCUGCUUCGCCCUUUUAUUUUUUUAAAGAUUUAUUCAUUUAGUUUAUAGAGAGAGAGCUGGGAGAGGGGCAGAGGGAGAGAAUCCCCAAGCAGGUCCCCCCAACCCCUGCAAUCAUGGACCCCAACGUGCUCCUCCAUCCUACAAUCCAUGAGACCACGACCUGAGCUGAAACUAAGAGUCAGAAGCUGAACUGACUGAACCAUCAAGGUGCCCCUUAAAGAUUUUGUUUUUAACUACUCUCUAUAUCCAACAUGGGCUCAAAUGUAUAACUCCGAAAUCAAGAGUCACAUACUCCACCUACUGAGCCAGUCAGUCAUCCUGUAAGUUUCAAGCUUUUAAACACUUAACUCUUUAGAUAGCACUUUGGGAGGUACAGUUGGGUGUGGUUGGUUGGGAUGUUCUAAUGGCAUGAACCCUUUAUGCAUUGAUACUUUGUGCUUUGAACUCGUUUUUUUCCAACAAGCUGGUUCUAUUGCUCCCACGGAAUGAUGCAACUUCUUCAUGAAUAUCACACUGAACACAACUUUAGUGCAACUGUGGUAUUAUUGCAAUCUUAAAACAGGUGUGGUCUUUUUUGAUUAACAACUCUGGUGAAGGAUCUUGUGAAAAAUGAAUGCAGGAUUACUUGUUAACUAUUUAUUAUUUUUAAAGAUUGUAUUUAUUUAUUUUAGAGAGAGACAGAGCUCACAAGCUGGGGAGAGAGGCAGAGCAGGAGGGAGAGGGACG
Canis lupus familiaris (dog) is the source of this 4776-nucleotide long non-coding RNA. RefSeq lists it as uncharacterized. The transcript has 9 exons. Lineage: Eukaryota; Metazoa; Chordata; Mammalia; Carnivora; Canidae. The record is from RefSeq and is a predicted model, not a curated record.